RNAcentral lists this long non-coding RNA (203 nucleotides) under Elaeis guineensis (African oil palm). RNAcentral's name for it is "long non-coding RNA (EGUI_LNC010519)". Lineage: Eukaryota; Viridiplantae; Streptophyta; Magnoliopsida; Arecales; Arecaceae. The record is from RNAcentral.
GGGAAACCUGUAAUAAAAGUCCAAACAUGUUGGAGGUAUUUCGAUAAGAGAUCCUUCGAUGUUUUAGUUAGUCGGAACUUGAAACUGGAGAAGGGAGAAGGGAGUCUGGAGAGAAAAUAGGGAGAGAAUGUAGACAUUAUUCUCUGUGGAUAUAAUUAUUUAUUUAUCUUGGAGUCCCAUGGUUAUCUUUUUAUAUAGAGAUG